CAUAGGUUAAUGAGGCGAACCGGGGGAACUGAAACAUCUAAGUACCCCGAGGAAAAGAAAUCAACCGAGAUUCCCCCAGUAGCGGCGAGCGAACGGGGAGGAGCCCAGAGCCUGAAUCAGUGUGUGUGUUAGUGGAAGCGUCUGGAAAGGCGCGCGAUACAGGGUGACAGCCCCGUACACAAAAAUGCACAUAUUGUGAGCUCGAUGAGUAGGGCGGGACACGUGGUAUCCUGUCUGAAUAUGGGGGGACCAUCCUCCAAGGCUAAAUACUCCUGACUGACCGAUAGUGAACCAGUACCGUGAGGGAAAGGCGAAAAGAACCCCGGCGAGGGGAGUGAAAAAGAACCUGAAACCGUGUACGUACAAGCAGUGGGAGCCUCUUUAUGGGGUGACUGCGUACCUUUUGUAUAAUGGGUCAGCGACUUAUAUUCUGUAGCAAGGUUAACCGAAUAGGGGAGCCGAAGGGAAACCGAGUCUUAACUGGGCGUUAAGUUGCAGGGUAUAGACCCGAAACCCGGUGAUCUAGCCAUGGGCAGGUUGAAGGUUGGGUAACACUAACUGGAGGACCGAACCGACUAAUGUUGAAAAAUUAGCGGAUGACUUGUGGCUGGGGGUGAAAGGCCAAUCAAACCGGGAGAUAGCUGGUUCUCCCCGAAAGCUAUUUAGGUAGCGCCUCGUGAAUUCAUCUCCGGGGGUAGAGCACUGUUUCGGCAAGGGGGUCAUCCCGACUUACCAACCCGAUGCAAACUGCGAAUACCGGAGAAUGUUAUCACGGGAGACACACGGCGGGUGCUAACGUCCGUCGUGAAGAGGGAAACAACCCAGACCGCCAGCUAAGGUCCCAAAGUCAUGGUUAAGUGGGAAACGAUGUGGGAAGGCCCAGACAGCCAGGAUGUUGGCUUAGAAGCAGCCAUCAUUUAAAGAAAGCGUAAUAGCUCACUGGUCGAGUCGGCCUGCGCGGAAGAUGUAACGGGGCUAAACCAUGCACCGAAGCUGCGGCAGCGACACUAUGUGUUGUUGGGUAGGGGAGCGUUCUGUAAGCCUGUGAAGGUGGCCUGUGAGGGUUGCUGGAGGUAUCAGAAGUGCGAAUGCUGACAUAAGUAACGAUAAAGCGGGUGAAAAGCCCGCUCGCCGGAAGACCAAGGGUUCCUGUCCAACGUUAAUCGGGGCAGGGUGAGUCGACCCCUAAGGCGAGGCCGAAAGGCGUAGUCGAUGGGAAACAGGUUAAUAUUCCUGUACUUGGUGUUACUGCGAAGGGGGGACGGAGAAGGCUAUGUUGGCCGGGCGACGGUUGUCCCGGUUUAAGCGUGUAGGCUGGUUUUCCAGGCAAAUCCGGAAAACCAAGGCUGAGGCGUGAUGACGAGGCACUACGGUGCUGAAGCGACAAAUGCCCUGCUUCCAGGAAAAGCCUCUAAGCAUCAGGUAACAUCAAAUCGUACCCCAAACCGACACAGGUGGUCAGGUAGAGAAUACCAAGGCGCUUGAGAGAACUCGGGUGAAGGAACUAGGCAAAAUGGUGCCGUAACUUCGGGAGAAGGCACGCUGAUAUGUAGGUGAAGCGACUUGCUCGUGGAGCUGAAAUCAGUCGAAGAUACCAGCUGGCUGCAACUGUUUAUUAAAAACACAGCACUGUGCAAACACGAAAGUGGACGUAUACGGUGUGACGCCUGCCCGGUGCCGGAAGGUUAAUUGAUGGGGUUAGCGGUAACGCGAAGCUCUUGAUCGAAGCCCCGGUAAACGGCGGCCGUAACUAUAACGGUCCUAAGGUAGCGAAAUUCCUUGUCGGGUAAGUUCCGACCUGCACGAAUGGCGUAAUGAUGGCCAGGCUGUCUCCACCCGAGACUCAGUGAAAUUGAACUCGCUGUGAAGAUGCAGUGUACCCGCGGCAAGACGGAAAGACCCCGUGAACCUUUACUAUAGCUUGACACUGAACAUUGAGCCUUGAUGUGUAGGAUAGGUGGGAGGCUUUGAAGUGUGGACGCCAGUCUGCAUGGAGCCGACCUUGAAAUACCACCCUUUAAUGUUUGAUGUUCUAACGUUGGCCCGUAAUCCGGGUUGCGGACAGUGUCUGGUGGGUAGUUUGACUGGGGCGGUCUCCUCCUAAAGAGUAACGGAGGAGCACGAAGGUUGGCUAAUCCUGGUCGGACAUCAGGAGGUUAGUGCAAUGGCAUAAGCCA
RNAcentral lists this ribosomal RNA (2177 nucleotides) under Escherichia coli. RNAcentral's name for it is "partial 23S ribosomal RNA". It matches the Rfam family "Bacterial large subunit ribosomal RNA", at positions 165 to 2366 of the family's 2925-position model. Lineage: Bacteria; Pseudomonadati; Pseudomonadota; Gammaproteobacteria; Enterobacterales; Enterobacteriaceae. The record is from RNAcentral.